This 437-nucleotide long non-coding RNA is filed under the name Populus trichocarpa (black cottonwood). RNAcentral describes it as "long non-coding RNA (PTRI_LNC003052)". The record is from RNAcentral. Lineage: Eukaryota; Viridiplantae; Streptophyta; Magnoliopsida; Malpighiales; Salicaceae.
GUGAUUUUUGUACUAUCAAAGAACCUUUUGAUUAAACCAUCCGCAUAGUUGGGAUGAUAGUACUUUUUGUCUUUUGAACUCAUGCCUCAUAAUUUUAACUUGAGAUAUUUGGAACAAGUUUCCAUCUAGGGAAUCACCUCUAUUAGAGCUUUUCACUUGAGGGAAUCACCUCUAUUAGAGCUUUUCACUUGAGUAGUUGAAUUAGGCUCUUUCCUGGGAUCGACUAGUGGAUUUCUCUCAUUAAUAUUUAAAUGAUUACAGCUAUUUCAGAUGUCAAAAUAUUUUGUGAUAUUGUUUCAAGCACACUGUGGCCUUUUGAAAUGUCGUAUUCUGAUAUGUUGUUGUAUGCUCCCUAUUUCAAGUUCAGGAGUUUUCUUAGUAAACCUCAGCUUGCCCAUUUCGAUAUAUCUAAUGUUGACAGAAUGAAAACCAAGUUG